This 407-nucleotide ribosomal RNA is filed under the name uncultured bacterium. RNAcentral describes it as "partial 16S ribosomal RNA". It matches the Rfam family "Bacterial small subunit ribosomal RNA", at positions 28 to 526 of the family's 1533-position model. The record is from RNAcentral.
GACGAACGCUGACGGCGUGACUACUACAUGCAAGUAGUAAGCAGUUGCGACCGGGUGCGUAACGCGUAGGUAACUGCCUCUUAGAGGGGGAUAACUAUUGGAAACGAUAGCUAAUACCGCAUACUAGUAGAUGGACCUGCGUUGUAUUAGCUAGUAGGUAGGGUAAUGGCCUACCUAGGCGACGAUACAUAGCCGACCUGAGAGGGUGAUCGGCCACACUGGGACUGAGACACGGCCCAGACUCCUACGGGAGGCAGCAGUAGGGAAUCUUCGGCAAUGGGGGGAACCCUGAGCGAGGAAGGCCGCGGGAGUGAAGAAGGUCCUCGGCUUGGAAAGCGUCGGUGGUGAGGAAGCGGUAAGUAACCAGAAAGCGACGGCUAACUAUGUGGCAGCCGCCGCGGUAAUAC